AAAUUGAAGAGUUUGAUCAUGGCUCAGAUUGAACGCUGGCGGCAGGCCUAACACAUGCAAGUCGAGCGGCAGCGGGAAAGUAGCUUGCUACUUUUGCCGGCGAGCGGCGGACGGGUGAGUAAUGCCUGGGAAAUUG
This 136-nucleotide ribosomal RNA is filed under the name Aeromonas caviae. RNAcentral's name for it is "partial 16S ribosomal RNA". It matches the Rfam family "Bacterial small subunit ribosomal RNA", at positions 1 to 127 of the family's 1533-position model. The record is from RNAcentral. RNAcentral also lists the same sequence under 1 other name. Lineage: Bacteria; Pseudomonadati; Pseudomonadota; Gammaproteobacteria; Aeromonadales; Aeromonadaceae.